This 120-nucleotide ribosomal RNA is filed under the name uncultured bacterium. Its description in RNAcentral is "partial 16S ribosomal RNA". It matches the Rfam family "Bacterial small subunit ribosomal RNA", at positions 1365 to 1482 of the family's 1533-position model. The record is from RNAcentral.
AAUACGUUCCCGGGCCUUGUACACACCGCCCGUCAAGUCACGAAAGUCGGUAACACCCGAAGCCGGUGGCCUAACCCUUUUGGGAAGGAGCCGUCUAAGGUGGGAUUGGCGAUUGGGACU